RNAcentral lists this ribosomal RNA (497 nucleotides) under uncultured bacterium. Its description in RNAcentral is "partial 16S ribosomal RNA". It matches the Rfam family "Bacterial small subunit ribosomal RNA", at positions 28 to 507 of the family's 1533-position model. The record is from RNAcentral.
GAUGAACGCUGGCGGCGUGCCUAAUACAUGCAAGUCGAACGAACAGACGAUGAGCUUGCUCCUCUCACGAUAGCGGCGCACGGGUGAGUAACACGUGUAUAACCUACCUAUCAGACUGGUAAAACUUCGGGAAACCGGCGAAAAUACCGUAUAAUAUAUUGCACCGCAUGGUUGAAUGGUGAAAUACGGCUUUUCUGUCACUUCUCGCUGGUUCCGCGCCGGAUUAGCUGGUUGGUAAGGUAACGGCUUACCAAGGCAACGAAGCGUAACCGACCUGAGAGAGUGAUAGGCCACCUUGGAACUGAGACACGGACCAGACGCCUACGGGAGGCAGCAGUAUGAAAUGGUCCGCAAUGGGCGAAAGCCUGACGGAGCAACGCCGCGUGAGUGAUGAAGGUCUUCGGUGCGUAAAGCUCUGUUAUGAGGGAAGAACAAAUGUGGAAGUAACUAUGCACGUCUUGACGGUACCUAAUCAGAAAGCAACGGCUAACUACGUG